UGGGGAAUUUUGGACAAUGGGCGCAAGCCUGAUCCAGCCAUGCCGCGUGAGUGAAGAAGGCCUUCGGGUUGUAAAGCUCUUUCGGUGGGGACGAAAAGGUUCGUGCUAAUACCGCGAACUAAUGACGGUACCCGAAGAAGAAGCACCGGCUAACUACGUGCCAGCAGCCGCGGUAAUACGUAGGGUGCAGGCGUUAAUCGGAAUUACUGGGCGUAAAGCGUGCGCAGGCGGUUUGUUAAGACAGAUGUGAAAUCCCCGGGCUUAACCUGGGAACUGCGUUUGUAACUGGCAAGCUAGAGUGUGGCAGAGGGGGGUGGAAUUCCAAGUGUAGCAGUGAAAUGCGUAGAUAUUUGGAGGAACACCAAUGGCGAAGGCAGCCCCCUGGGUCAACACUGACGCUCAUGCACGAAAGCGUGGGGAGCAAACAGGAUUAGAUACCCGGGUAGUCCCUGAGCGGGCUGGCAAGGCGCAU
This 472-nucleotide ribosomal RNA is filed under the name uncultured bacterium. RNAcentral's name for it is "bacterial SSU rRNA". It matches the Rfam family "Bacterial small subunit ribosomal RNA", at positions 355 to 825 of the family's 1533-position model. The record is from RNAcentral.